GCCCACGGUUGAACAUAAUUCAGGCACCGUUGCCCCCGAUUUUAGCCAGAGAAUAUUUUUUUCGGCCUCCCCCACGUAGCUCGCUUCCAGUUGAAUGGUUCCAAAAGCCUGGACGGAAAUUCCUUCGGCGUGGGGUUUAAAAUACCAUUACAUAUCUCGCUUCUCUUCAUACUUCUCACGACCCAACCCUUGAGCCAACCCUAAUCGUAACCCUAAUUUGACAACACCCCCUAAUCUGGCGUUGGCAGUUGGAGAUUUCGUUGCAUUAACACGUGGUUGUACCUACACGCCGGGUCGCCUUUUUGAUAUAACGGUGCUUAACCGUUUAACCCCAUGUUCUGGGCGAUGUGGAGUAAAAAGAGUGCUGCUUCAAACGUUGGUUUGCAAAAGAGUUUGGGAGAUCGUGGGGUGCUAGUUCAACCGAAUGCCACCCCAAGGUGCGAAAGCAAUAGCUUUCCCUUCUUCCGAGAUCUCUUCACCAAAAUUCCCUGUUCACUACACCCCCUAUUCACUCUAUAUAAACAUGGAAUCCAUUCCCCAUCAUAGUUUGACUCCAGAUUAGUCAAGCUCUCGCUAGUGUUGCUGAGGAACGAAAAGAAAAAGGAAUACUUUCAAUCUUAUAUCUCGAUUAUGAAGCUUCUGUGCCCCACUAUUUCUCUUGGGUUGUUUGGGAUUGCGGUACAAUGCGCUGCAGUAACAAACACAAAGAGCCAGGAGGGUACAUUAGACAUCAUUCGUGGACUAAAGCAGGAUCCUGAGGGAUUCACCGAUAUCGGCGCAGACGGAAUCGCACGAUCCCUCGAUGGACAAGGGAACGUUAUUGAUUUCAGAAGACUGACCAACGCUCAGUUGCUCAAACUUGCACAAACGACGUCUGUGGAUGCUGAAGAACUCGAGCACAACAUCGCAGCUUGGCAGGAUGCCGAUGGUUGGAAAGUGCCCCUCACCCAGGCUUUGAAUCCCCCUAAUAAAGCGGAGGACAUAAACAAUCAUGGGAGCAUGGCAAAGAGUAUUGAUACGCGACCGGCUGCCAUGGCAGCCAUGCAAUUGAGGGCCGAUAUUUGGUGCUACGCAAUAACCUGCACGACGAAUAUAGAGUGCAGAAGAAUUCACUGUACUGGUUGUUCUACACGGCCUUACCAACGCAGGUACUGCUACCCGUGAGUGCCUAGUGAAGCAAGAGAGCCGUUGCUGGAAGGGCCGUCUUGCUGCAAUUGGCUGUCCGGUGGAGUGGAUAUACAGUAAAUCAGGCGAAGCAGGGACAAAAAUGAGGAGCACUCCUUUUCAGUCUAGGUUUUCUCGGGUUCUCUCCGCAUCUAGGAAGAAAGUUAAAGAAUAUUGGUACUUCUUUGUAUUUACUUUAGCAAUGUUCUUAUAUUAGUAUAUAUAUCAGAUCUCUCAGAUGUCAAAAAAUAACAGUUAUUAUUUUAUAAAGUUUGAAAUACAUAAAAUAAAAGUUUCUUCCUCUAUAUAAUAACAAAUUUUUGUUCUGUAGGGCUGUCCGGAUUACCCCGAGCAAAUUAACCAAACGAUAGAGCAACAUAUAAAAUCUAGUUACCCUUGCCAGGACGAAACGGGGAUAGAAGUUAAGUACUAUUACUGCUUUCAAUGUAGAAUACAAGGAUUCAGUCAGGAGAGGAAAGACUAAGCGAUUCCCUUCAGCCAGUUUUUACAAAUUAAAGAAUAUAGGCAGGCAGGCAGGCAGGUAGGCAGGCAGGCAGGCAGGUAAGUACUAGUGCUAGUACUAGUGUCUAUGAAGGAUGACGGGACGAAUCAGUUAAACUUUAUAGAAUUAACCUUAACUGGGUGUCAUCACCCUCCCCCGUUCCUAUUAAAACAUAUCUGUUUGUGUUUAAGCGGAAAGGCCUCUUUUCUCGCUUUCUGAGAAGAAUAUAAUCAUGCGCCAGAGUUUCUUGACCAGGAUUUCCGCUUCCUCGUCCAGAGCCUGGGUUGUGAGAAAGUAUAUCAUUAGCAUUGCAAGAAUUUUGUCACAAGAGAAUAAUGAAACUUUGGCACUAAGGGAGUAGAAAAGAAAAGGAGGGGAGAGGGGAUUCUUACCUCUUCCAACAGUUCGACUAGCUCCUGAGGAUGCCCUCGUUUCCGAAUAUGCUCCUCAACCACGUCGACCAGCAUCUGCUCCUGGACACCAAGGUACUCCAUAAUUUUCUUCUCAACAAAUGGCUUAAGUUGCUCUCCCCGAACGGAUUCAUCCACAAACUCCCAAUUAACUUCCCAGUUCCAAAGGCCAUCUUUGUCCGAUGGGAUAUCGGCAGCAAGCUGCCUUGCUGCCUGGGCGCGCUCUUCAUCCGUAAGACCGGCCGACUCAGCCGCUGUAUCAAAUUUAAUAGACGUAAGUGGCCGUCUCGUGGCGGCUCCCGUAUCCUCCUCAUCCUCAAGGAGGCCCUCGACUUCUGCCACAGUUCUCCGCGCCGUAGCUUGGGCCUUCUGUGCUGCCGCACCGAGAGACAGCUUAAAGCGUUGUGGCUCUCUUGGGGCUUGGGUCCGGGAUUCCAACUCUUCGGCCUGCCGGGCAAGGAAGUCAUCCGCCAUGCCACGAGCUUGUUCUUCUUGUUGCUGGGUCCGGGCAUUCUCACGCUCUUCCGCAACACGAUCCGCUUCAUCCAUGCUCACCUCUCUAUUUCUAAAUGCAGCUCUAUUUCGUAUCCAGACGCCACGAUCAGCGUAGUACUCUUCGACUUUUCGGCUAGCUUCGAGGUCAUCAUUCCAUUCUCGCAGGCGUUUAGCCAUAAUUUGCUUUUCCUCCUCUAGGCGGAUAUCUUCUUCCUUGUCACGAUUUUUCUCUCGCUCUACGGCUGCUGUUCUGCUGCGUUCCCGAUUCAGCCACCGCCUUUCUUGAUCUAAAUAUUGCUUUUCCGCUUCAACAGCUUUCUUUUCCUUACGCCUUCGUUCAAGCUCUUCAUCGCUUGCAUCAGUAUCCUCGUCUUCAUUGGCACCAUUUAUUCCACUCCCGUUCACAAAUGAUACUCCCUUCUGGUAGUCCCUUGGAAUUUGAUGACCAAAUCCUUUCGGAGCCGAAGGCGCCUUUGGAACACCCUUGUCCCUGGGUCCUAGAGGGAUGCCAUUCGCACCUCCUGCAGGGCCACUUGGUGCAGUUGGGGGAGGCGAAGCUAAUCUGUUUGGCCUGGGAGCACUCGCCCUAGCCCUUUCUAAAGACUCGAGUUCUUCCUCUCUCUUCAGUCUUUCAAGGUCGCGACGGUUGCUUCUUUCACGGAAGGCUGCGAUUUCUUUUGCAACGGUUUCUCUCAUUUCAGCAGGGAUAUCUGACAACUCAUCCUCAACGUUAAUAGGAAUCGUAACAAUUUCAGCAGGGUUCCCAUCCUUCUGUCCGUCUACAUCUUUCAUUGGCGUAUCGCCCUCGCCGUCAACCGCGUUUGAAGUGUCGUCCGGUUUUGCGGGGGCUGGUGGGUUGGUAAUCUCGGAAAGGACCUUUGCUAGAGCUGUUUUGGCCCCAUCCAACCGUGCUUGCUCGGCUUCGGGGUCUCGCUGGGUAGUGGACUCAAACUGCUCGAGGUAUUUGAGAGAGCUGUCGUCGAAAACCACCUAUUAAACGUUAGUUAUUUCAAUAUAAUAGUAAUAGAAGCAGCUUUAAAACCAUACCAGUAACUUGCUCUUUUCAACCUCUUCCUCAUCCCCUUCGUCCUCUCUCACUGG
Molecule: small RNA, 3672 nt
Filed under: Histoplasma capsulatum
Lineage: Eukaryota; Fungi; Ascomycota; Eurotiomycetes; Onygenales; Ajellomycetaceae
Also listed under: 1 other name
Description: hypothetical RNA
Source: RNAcentral